Molecule: ribosomal RNA, 1104 nt
Filed under: uncultured Psychrobacter sp.
Lineage: Bacteria; Pseudomonadati; Pseudomonadota; Gammaproteobacteria; Moraxellales; Moraxellaceae
Description: bacterial SSU rRNA
Rfam family: Bacterial small subunit ribosomal RNA
Source: RNAcentral
UUACUGCUCUCGCUAUUAGAUGAGCCUAAGUCGGAUUAGCUAGAUGGUGGGGUAAAGGCCUACCAUGGCGACGAUCUGUAGCUGGUCUGAGAGGAUGAUCAGCCACACCGGGACUGAGACACGGCCCGGACUCCUACGGGAGGCAGCAGUGGGGAAUAUUGGACAAUGGGGGCAACCCUGAUCCAGCCAUGCCGCGUGUGUGAAGAAGGCCUUUUGGUUGUAAAGCACUUUAAGCAGUGAAGAAGACUCCAUGGUUAAUACCCAUGGACGAUGACAUUAGCUGCAGAAUAAGCACCGGCUAACUCUGUGCCAGCAGCCGCGGUAAUACAGAGGGUGCAAGCGUUAAUCGGAAUUACUGGGCGUAAAGCGAGCGUAGGUGGCUUGAUAAGUCAGAUGUGAAAUCCCCGGGCUUAACCUGGGAACUGCAUCUGAUACUGUUAGGCUAGAAUAGGUGAGAGGAAGGUAGAAUUCCAGGUGUAGCGGUGAAAUGCGUAGAGCCCNUNANUAUUUUCCGAAUUGCGAANGCAGCCUUCCUGGCAUCAAUAUUGACACUGUAGGUUCGAAAGCGUGGGUAGAAAAAAAAGAAUAGAUACCCUGGUAGUCCACGCCGUAAACGAUGUCUACUAGUCGUUGGGUCCCUUGAGGACUUAGUGACGCAGCUAACGCAAUAAGUAGACCGCCUGGGGAGUACGGCCGCAAGGUUAAAACUCAAAUGAAUUGACGGGGGCCCGCACAAGCGGUGGAGCAUGUGGUUUAAUUCGAUGCAACGCGAAGAACCUUACCUGGUCUUGACAUAUCUAGAAUCCUGCAGAGAUGCGGGAGUGCCUUCGGGAAUUAGAAUACAGGUGCUGCAUGGCUGUCGUCAGCUCGUGUCGUGAGAUGUUGGGUUAAGUCCCGCAACGAGCGCAACCCUUGUCCUUAGUUACCAGCGGGUUAAGCCGGGAACUCUAAGGAUACUGCCAGUGACAAACUGGAGGAAGGCGGGGACGACGUCAAGUCAUCAUGGCCCUUACGACCAGGGCUACACACGUGCUACAAUGGUAGGUACAGAGGGCAGCUACACAGCCGAUGUGAUGCGAAUCUUAAAAAGCCUUAUCGUAGAUC